UAAUAAGUGUUUUAUGGCACUUUCUAAAUCCAUAUCCACCUUGUGUGCAAUGUCAGUCGAUCUUCUUCAUGGAGAUCGACCAAACAUCAACCUUUAUCUUUUAACUCUUUGUCUGAAAAAUAUUAUGAAUAAACAAUUCAAAAUA
This 145-nucleotide unclassified non-coding RNA is filed under the name soil metagenome. Its description in RNAcentral is "partial internal transcribed spacer 1". The record is from RNAcentral.